Molecule: unclassified non-coding RNA, 229 nt
Filed under: plant metagenome
Description: partial contains small subunit ribosomal RNA, internal transcribed spacer 1, and 5.8S ribosomal RNA
Source: RNAcentral
UCUCCGUAGGUGAACCUGCGGAGGGAUCAUUACAGAGCUCAUGCCCUAGCGGGUAGAUCUCCCACCCUAUGUUAUUAUUACUUUGUUGCUUUGGCGGGCCGUUAGGCUCCGGCCCGACUACCGGCCCCGGCUGGUAAGCGCCCGCCAGAGGACCCAAAACCCUGAAUAUUAGUGUCGUCUGAGUACUAUAUAAUAGUUAAAACUUUCAACAACGGAUCUCUUGGUUCUG